AUACUAAGGUCGAAAAAGUCAUGCUGAUUAUGCUUGCAUAAGGAAGCAUGACCUUGAGACCUGAACAAAAAUGAGAAAGCAGCCAUUUUUCGAAGAAAAAUGAGCGAUUUCGAAUUUUUGAAGUAUUGCGGGAGCAUGAAAUGCGGAGCAAUACGGUAGUAU
Molecule: small RNA, 162 nt
Filed under: chicken gut metagenome
Description: Clostridiales-1 RNA
Rfam family: Clostridiales-1 RNA
Source: RNAcentral